Molecule: ribosomal RNA, 468 nt
Filed under: uncultured bacterium
Lineage: Bacteria
Description: partial 16S ribosomal RNA
Rfam family: Bacterial small subunit ribosomal RNA
Source: RNAcentral
GACGAACGCUGGCGGCGUGCUUAACACAUGCAAGUCGAACGGAAAGGCCCUGCUUUUGUGGGGUGCUCGAGUGGCGAACGGGUGAGUAACACGUGAGUAACCUGCCCUUGACUUUGGGAUAACUUCAGGAAACUGGGGCUAAUACCGGAUAGGAGCUCCUGCUGCAUGGUGGGGGUUGGAAAGUUUCGGCGGUUGGGGAUGGACUCGCGGCUUAUCAGCUUGUUGGUGGGGUAGUGGCUUACCAAGGCUUUGACGGGUAGCCGGCCUGAGAGGGUGACCGGCCACAUUGGGACUGAGAUACGGACCAGACUCCUACGGGAGGCAGCAGUGGGGAAUAUUGCACAAUGGGCGGAAGCCUGAUGCAGCAACGCCGCGUGCGGGAUGACGUCCUUCGGGUUGUAAACCGCUUUCGCCUGUGACGAAGCGUGAGUGACGGUAAUGGGUAAAGAAGCAACGGCUAACUACGUG